RNAcentral lists this transfer RNA (73 nucleotides) under Pseudomonadota bacterium. RNAcentral describes it as "tRNA-Val". It matches the Rfam family "tRNA". Rfam says of the family: Transfer RNA (tRNA) molecules are approximately 80 nucleotides in length. Their secondary structure includes four short double-helical elements and three loops (D, anti-codon, and T loops). Further hydrogen bonds mediate the characteristic L-shaped molecular structure. tRNAs have two regions of fundamental functional importance: the anti-codon, which is responsible for specific mRNA codon recognition, and the 3' end, to which the tRNAs corresponding amino acid is attached (by aminoacyl-tRNA synthetases). tRNAs cope with the degeneracy of the genetic code in two manners: having more than one tRNA (with a specific anti-codon) for a particular amino acid; and 'wobble' base-pairing, i.e. permitting non-standard base-pairing at the 3rd anti-codon position. The record is from RNAcentral. Lineage: Bacteria; Pseudomonadati; Pseudomonadota. RNAcentral also lists the same sequence under 1 other name.
GGGCGGAUAGCUCAGCGGCGAGAGCGCCUGCCUUACAAGCAGGAGGUCCCAGGUUCAAUUCCUGGUCCGCCCA